UGGGGAAUAUUGCGCAAUGGGCGAAAGCCUGACGCAGCGACGCCGCGUGGGUGAUGAAGGUCUUCGGGUCGUAAAGCCCUGUCGGGAGGGACGAAACCUCGGUGACCUAAUACGUCACCGACCUGACGGUACCUCUUAAGGAAGCACCGGCUAACUACGUGCCAGCAGCCGCGGUAAUACGUAGGGUGCGAGCGUUAAUCGGAAUUACUGGGCGUAAAGCGUGCGCAGGCGGUUUUGUAAGACAGAGGUGAAAUCCCCGGGCUCAACCUGGGAACUGCCUUUGUGACUGCAAGGCUGGAGUGCGGCAGAGGGGGAUGGAAUUCCGCGUGUAGCAGUGAAAUGCGUAGAUAUGCGGAGGAACACCGAUGGCGAAGGCAAUCCCCUGGGCCUGCACUGACGCUCAUGCACGAAAGCGUGGGGAGCAAACA
Molecule: ribosomal RNA, 428 nt
Filed under: uncultured bacterium
Lineage: Bacteria
Description: bacterial SSU rRNA
Rfam family: Bacterial small subunit ribosomal RNA
Source: RNAcentral